Molecule: transfer RNA, 56 nt
Filed under: Porella platyphylla
Lineage: Eukaryota; Viridiplantae; Streptophyta; Jungermanniopsida; Porellales; Porellaceae
Also listed under: 24 other names
Description: partial tRNA-Leu
Source: RNAcentral
CGGACUAAAAUCCGUUGGCUUUAUAGACCAUGAGGGUUCAAGUCCCUCUACCCCCA